This 359-nucleotide ribosomal RNA is filed under the name uncultured Saccharomycetales. Its description in RNAcentral is "eukaryotic LSU rRNA". The stretch from base 304 to 359 matches the Rfam family "Eukaryotic large subunit ribosomal RNA", at positions 1 to 56 of the family's 3401-position model. Lineage: Eukaryota; Fungi; Ascomycota; Saccharomycetes. The record is from RNAcentral.
ACACAUACGCGUGAAUCAUCGAAUCUUUGAACGCAUCUUGCACCUUUCAGGUCUCCUGAAAGGUGUACUUGUUUGAGUAUCAUAAACACAACUCCAAGGUUACUCUUGGGAAUUGAGACGUCAAGUUAGCUACUAACAUGUGUCUUUUAAGUGAUAUGCAAGUGUUUCUGCAGCAUUCGUGCAGCAGAAAGCCCCUCAAUCAAAAUGUGAGAUAAAUAUCGCACAAAUUAGUGUUGAAAGGGUCAAGCUUUGCUACGCCUAGAGGUGUGUGCGUUCGCGCGCGCACACUUCACCUUUGAUCUGUGAUCUCAAAUCAAGUAAGACUACCCGCUGAACUUAAGCAUAUCAAUAAGCGGAGG